This 1001-nucleotide long non-coding RNA is filed under the name Cricetulus griseus (Chinese hamster). RNAcentral's name for it is "lncRNA (ENSCGRG00015029089.1)". Lineage: Eukaryota; Metazoa; Chordata; Mammalia; Rodentia; Cricetidae. The record is from RNAcentral.
GGGGAAGCUGUAGCCAUGCCUACUUAGGGGCUGGCUAAAGGUGUGCCUGACCACACUUGCAAGGGCGUGGUCAGGGUGACAUAGAGUGAGACUUUCAGGGGACUGCGUUUCUCUUUCAGUUUCACUUUUGGGCUUGUAUACAGACCGCUGCCAAGCCAGCUGGCUAGGUCAGUCUGUAAGUAAGGCUUUUCCCUAUUAAAUACCCUUAUAUUUCCACUUGGCUCCAUAUUGGUAAUUUCCCACUAUAGAUAUUAGCUGUUAAAUAAAUGAUAAUCAUGCUAUAAAUAAUCCACAGACCCAGAGAGGUUAAGUGACAAGGAGGGCUCAAGGGGGGACUCAUGGAUCUUCCUGGGAAGUAGAAAUAAAAUAAACUUUGUAGGUAGACUAGGGGUUGGUGGGAAUGGAAAUAGGAUGUAUCAGGUGGGGAGAGGAAAGGAGAAAGUAAGGGUAGAGACAAGUGUAAUUGGAGGGCAUGGGGGUGGGGUUGAUGUGGAAACAUAGUCCAAUAGAAACUCCCUGAAAUCUAAGGGGGUAACCCUAUCAAGGACUCUUAGUAAUGGAGGGUAUGGAGCCUAAACUGACCAUCUUCUGUAACCAGGGAAGCCUUCCAGUGGUAUGACUAGGAUACCAACCCAGCCACAAGAUGUGCUAGGGUAAGGGUGGCAUAGAACUUGUUGGAGUAGCCAAUCAAUGACUGGUAUAAUUUGAGGCCCACUCCACAAGCCACAAAAGGAGUCCAUGUCUAAUAUUGCCUGAAUGACAAGGAACCUGGGGCUAAAUUACCCAGAAACCUAGGGCAGAACCAAACACUACUGGCAAAAAAUAAACAAAUAAAUAAAUAUCAAUGAAAUGAUUACUGAUGAUGGUCUGCUAUGCUCAUAGAUAUGUGUCUAGUCCAGUAUCAUUAUCAGAGAGGCUACCUCUAGCAGCUGAUGGAAGCAGAUGCAGAGACCCACAACCAACUAUUAAGGCAGAGAGGUUGCAAGUUUCUAUCAUGUUCC